AUUGAACGCUGGCGGCAUGCCUUACACAUGCAAGUCGAACGGCAGCGCGGGGCAACCUGGCGGCGAGUGGCGAACGGGUGAGUAAUAUAUCGGAACAUACCCUAGAGUGGGGGAUAACGUAGCGAAAGUUACGCUAAUACCGCAUACGCACUAAGGUGGAAAGUGGGGGAUUCGCAAGAACCUCAUGCUCAUGGAGUGGCCGAUAUCUGAUUAGCUAGUUGGUGAGGUAAAGGCUCACCAAGGCAACGAUCAGUAGCUGGUUUGAGAGAACGACCAGCCACACUGGAACUGAGACACGGUCCAGACUCCUACGGAGGCAGCAGUGGGGAAUUUUGGACAAUGGGGGCAACCCUGAUCCAGCAAUGCCGCGUGAGUGAAGAAGGCCU
Molecule: ribosomal RNA, 386 nt
Filed under: uncultured bacterium
Lineage: Bacteria
Description: bacterial SSU rRNA
Rfam family: Bacterial small subunit ribosomal RNA
Source: RNAcentral